RNAcentral lists this unclassified non-coding RNA (152 nucleotides) under Chaetomium trigonosporum. RNAcentral describes it as "partial internal transcribed spacer 2". The record is from RNAcentral. RNAcentral also lists the same sequence under 1 other name. Lineage: Eukaryota; Fungi; Ascomycota; Sordariomycetes; Sordariales; Chaetomiaceae.
CACCCAUCAAGCCCCCGGCUUGUGUUGGGGACCUGCGGCUGCCGCAGGCCCUGAAAACCAGUGGCGGGCUCGCUGUCACACCGAGCGUAGUAAUAUCAUCUCGCUCAGGGCGUGCUGCGGGUUCCGGCCGUUAAACGACCUUUCUAACCCAA